GACGAACGCUGGCGGCGUGCUUAAUACAUGCAAGUCGAACGCAGUGGGGACGGGUGAGUAACACGUGGGUAACCUCCCAUCAGAGGGGAUAACACUUGGAAACAGGUGCUAAACCGAUACUGAUGGAUGGACCCGCGGGGCAUUAGCUAGUUGGUGGGGUAACGGCGCACCAAGGCCACGAUGCAUAGCCGGCCUGAGAGGAUGAUCGGGCACAGUGGGACUGAGACACGGCCCAGACUCCUACGGGAGGCAGCAGUGGGGAAUCUUCGGCAAUGGACGAAAGUCUGACACAGCAACGCCGCGUGAAUGAAGAAGGUUUUCGGAUCGUAAAGCUCUGUUGGUCGGGAAGCGUUAUCUAACGAAGAAGCCACGGCUAACUACGUGCCAGCAGCCGCGGUAAUAC
This 403-nucleotide ribosomal RNA is filed under the name uncultured bacterium. RNAcentral describes it as "partial 16S ribosomal RNA". It matches the Rfam family "Bacterial small subunit ribosomal RNA", at positions 28 to 526 of the family's 1533-position model. The record is from RNAcentral.